GAUGAACGCUGGCGGCGUGCCUAAUACAUGCAAGUCGAGCGAACAGAUGAGGAGCUUGCUCCUCUGACGUUAGCGGCGGACGGGUGAGUAACACGUGGAUAACCUACCUAUAAGACUGGGAUAACUUCGGGAAACCGGAGCUAAUACCGGAUAAUAUAUUGAACCGCAUGGUUCAAUAGUGAAAGACGGUUUUGCUGUCACUUAUAGAUGGAUCCGCGCCGCAUUAGCUAGUUGGUAAGGUAACGGCUUACCAAGGCAACGAUGCGUAGCCGACCUGGGAGGGUGAUCGGCCACACUGGAACUGAGACACGGUCCAGACUCCUACGGGAGGCAGCAAUAGGGAAUCUUCCGCAAUGGGCGAAGGCCUGACGGAGCAACGCCGCGUGAGUGAUGAAGGUCUUCGGAUCGUAAAACUCUGUUAUUAGGGAAGAACAAAUGUGUAAGUAACUAUGCACGUCUUGACGGUACCUAAUCAGAAAGCCACGGCUAACUACGUG
RNAcentral lists this ribosomal RNA (497 nucleotides) under uncultured bacterium. Its description in RNAcentral is "partial 16S ribosomal RNA". It matches the Rfam family "Bacterial small subunit ribosomal RNA", at positions 28 to 507 of the family's 1533-position model. The record is from RNAcentral.